RNAcentral lists this ribosomal RNA (388 nucleotides) under uncultured bacterium. RNAcentral describes it as "bacterial SSU rRNA". It matches the Rfam family "Bacterial small subunit ribosomal RNA", at positions 28 to 417 of the family's 1533-position model. The record is from RNAcentral.
GACGAACGCUGGCGGCGUGCUUAACACAUGCAAGUCGAGCGGUAAGGCCCUUUCGGGGGUACGACGAGCGGCGAACGGGUGAGUAACACGUGGGUGACCUGCCUCUAGCUCUGGGAUAAGCCCGGGAAACUGGGUCUAAUACUGGAUAUGACUCCAUGACGCAUGCUGUGGGGUGGAAAGCCUUGUGCGGCUAGAGAUGGGCCCGCGGCCUAUCAGCUUGUUGGUGGGGUGAGGCCUACCAAGGCGACGACGGGUAGCCGGCCUGAGAGGGCGACCGGCCACACUGGGACUGAGACACGGCCCAGACUCCUACGGGAGGCAGCAGUGGGGAAUCUUGCGCAAUGGGCGAAAGCCUGACGCAGCGACGCCGCGUGAGGGAUGACGGCCU